Molecule: ribosomal RNA, 136 nt
Filed under: Bacillus timonensis
Lineage: Bacteria; Bacillati; Bacillota; Bacilli; Caryophanales; Bacillaceae
Description: partial 23S ribosomal RNA
Rfam family: Bacterial large subunit ribosomal RNA
Source: RNAcentral
AGGUUAAGUUAUGAAGGGCGCACGGUGGAUGCCUUGGCACUAGGAGCCGAUGAAGGACGGUACUAACACCGAUAUGCUUCGGGGAGCUGUAAGUAAGCAUUGAUCCGAAGAUUUCCGAAUGGGGAAACCCACUGCU